GCCAGGCCUGGUGGUGCACGCCUGUAAUCCCAGAAACUAGGGAGGUUGAGGCAGGAGGAUUGCAAGUUGGAGGCCAACCUCAGCAACCUAGUGAGACCCUGUCUUAA
Molecule: small RNA, 107 nt
Filed under: Marmota monax (woodchuck)
Lineage: Eukaryota; Metazoa; Chordata; Mammalia; Rodentia; Sciuridae
Source: RNAcentral